CCUACGGGGGGCAGCAGUGGGGAAUAUUGGACAAUGGGGGGAACCCUGAUCCAGCCAUGCCGCGUGUGUGAAGAAGGCCCUCGGGUUGUAAAGCACUUUCAGUGAGGAAGAACGCCUGGUGGUUAAUACCCAUCAGGAAAGACAUCACUCACAGAAGAAGCACCGGCUAACUCCGUGCCAGCAGCCCGGUAAUACGGAGGGUGCGAGCGUUAAUCGGAAUUACUGGGCGUAAAGCGCGCGUAGGUGGCUUGAUAAGCCGGUUGUGAAAGCCCCGGGCUCAACCUGGGAACGGCAUCCGGAACUGUCAAGCUAGAGUGCAGGAGAGGAAGGUAGAAUUCCCGGUGUAGCGGUGAAAUGCGUAGAGAUCGGGAGGAAUACCAGUGGCGAAGGCGGCCUUCUGGACUGACACUGACACUGAGGUGCGAAAGCGUGGGUAGCAAACAGGAUUAGAUACCCGUGUAGUC
This 464-nucleotide ribosomal RNA is filed under the name Vreelandella stevensii. RNAcentral's name for it is "partial 16S ribosomal RNA". It matches the Rfam family "Bacterial small subunit ribosomal RNA", at positions 338 to 795 of the family's 1533-position model. The record is from RNAcentral. Lineage: Bacteria; Pseudomonadati; Pseudomonadota; Gammaproteobacteria; Oceanospirillales; Halomonadaceae.